This 172-nucleotide ribosomal RNA is filed under the name Paenibacillus silagei. RNAcentral's name for it is "partial 16S ribosomal RNA". It matches the Rfam family "Bacterial small subunit ribosomal RNA", at positions 1 to 163 of the family's 1533-position model. The record is from RNAcentral. Lineage: Bacteria; Bacillati; Bacillota; Bacilli; Caryophanales; Paenibacillaceae.
AAUUUGGAGAGUUUGAUCCUGGCUCAGGACGAACGCUGGCGGCAUGCCUAAUACAUGCAAGUCGAGCGGAGUUUGAGAGGAAGCUUGCUUCCUUUCAAACUUAGCGGCGGACGGGUGAGUAACACGUAGGCAACCUGCCCUCAAGCCUGGGAUAACUACCGGAAACGGUAGC